UAUCAUUGGUAAAUGGACCAGAAGAGUCAUCAUAAGCUAGCUAGAAAAAAAUAUAAGGGAAUACUUGACAUAGGAUGACCCAACAUGAUAUAGAAACUUAUACAUGUGACAUACGGGUCUCUGAGGCCGACACGAUCAUUUGUAUAUUCAAAACAUAGGCCAACAAGGCCAUACAGGUAUCGACAUACAUGAAAUCUGUCUACAAGCCUAUAAGAGUACAUAAACUUUAUGAAGGUCGGGUCAUGCCCUACCGUACCGAUCAAUUCAUGUCCAAAUAAUACUGACCAAUUGGCAACUCCUGAGCAGUGCACCGACACCUUCUGCUGAGCUGAUAGCCUAUUAUGAGGACUGCCAACCUAUAUAUCGAAAUAUACAUGCAUAAAAUGCAGCAUCCCAGGAAAAAGGGACGUCAUUACAAAUAAAGUACCGAGUAUGUAAGGAAUGAAAAUCAGUAUAUAAAAGAUAGGAAGAAACAUGGAGUAAAGAACUCAACAUGUAUGUUUGAAUAGCUUUGUGAAUCAUGAAAUAUUUAUAAUGUCAUGCAUAUGCAUAUAAAUAUAAAAUCAUGCAUGGGUAUAUGAGCACAUAACAUCAUCAAGCCUCUGAGGUCAUCCCAUCAUAUCAUCUCGGCCUCUGUGGGCGAAAGCAUAAACGUAUACCAGCUGAUCAGGUGGUGGUGCAUAUAUAAAACCAUAACCUCUUUUAAAACCCCAUAUAUAUAUANNNNNNNNNNNNNNNNNNNNNNNNNNNNNNNNNNNNNNNNNNNNNNNNNNNNNNNNNNNNNNNNNNNNNNNNNNNNNNNNNNNNNNNNNNNNNNNNNNNNNNNNNNNNNNNNNNNNNNNNNNNNNNNNNNNNNNNNNNNNNNNNNNNUAUAUAGAAUGCCAUCUGACCUUGAGUGAAUGUAUAUAUAUAAAUGAAUGCAAUGUAGAAUCAAGUAACUUAAUAAGAUCUCUCGAAUGUCAUAAAUUCAAUAUGCUUUCGGUUUAAAUUAAUCAACUUACUUAUUUCUGAGACACAUGAACAGAUGAUAUAAUAAUAGGAUACAUGGGGAAUCACGAACAUAGGUACCCAUAAUACUUCUAUAAAUAGAGUCAUUUAUGAAAGUUGUGCCUUUGCUCGUUGUGUUUAUAUCACAUGAAUCACUCCAAAGGAAAGAAAGUAUAGUCUUAACCCACUGGUUCAAGAGCCCAACUCGACUCGAAUCCAAUUUACGAUCUCGUUCAUUUAUCCUUUUUACAACAUUUUUCUUUACUAUUCCAUAGUUACCUUGUCAUCGUUGGUUCCUUUUCACAUCUUCAAUGACAUUUUACUUGCCUUGCGGUAACCCUUCUGUACGAAGGAUAACUGAAUUUCUUAUGCACGAGGUGACACCUAGUGUAACUGGCACACUUAGUCCCUUUGCUGUCCCUAAUCCUUUUUCAAUUUAUCUUGUUCUCAAGCCAUACAGAUUUUUAAUACUCUGGGGGUCCAACUUUUCCUUCUGGUAAUCAUGUUAAUCACCAACUUAUUGCUCAAAAUGAGGAUAUUAAUUUAUGGCUUAUAUUCUUUUAUUGUAUAAAGGCAUGUAUCCUCUGUCUUUUCUUUCACUUGACUAUAGGAUAUGUCAUCAUGGCAUAUUUUGAUUUAUCGUUAUGACCCAUAUAUCACAUCAUGUUCGUAAUGCUUCAUUUACUCUCUUCUUAUUCUCCUGCUAAUAUUUCUGUCUAUCACUUUAUUCUGAAAACUUCAAUAAAAUAUUUUUUUACUUUUAGCUCCUUUUUCCUAUCCAGUGGCUCUUCGGGUCGCUUAACAUCCUCUCUUUGCUAGGGACUAGAGCCACAGUAAGUUAAAGAUAUAUUCCUUCUAGGAUUCCAUUGCCCAUCUAUUAAAAUUUCUGAUCAUUCUAGUAUUCAAAUAUGACUGUACUGUUAAAGAGUGCACCAUAUAGGCAUCACACAAGGAGAUAUAUUACAACGUUUUCACAAUCCUUCUUAUAUGUUAGCUAAUGAUAACAACCCAUCCAACAUUUGUGGUUAUUCUAACACAAUCAGAUCCUGAUAUCUCAUUCUUAUCUUAAACUAUAUAUAUCUCUGUUACGGUUGAAGGUAACUCAAAAAGCUUAUAUCUUCCUCCUUGGAUUGUAAAUAAUGAUAAUCUUUACUAACUUGGUACCUCGUACUCUUCUUCACCUUGCUUCAUUUACUUGUUGAAGCUUGUAUCUACCUUCUGAUUCUCUUAUUGAUUUUUACCAUAUGGGUGGAUAGAUAUUCAUACCUUAAGGCUCCUUAUCAAGAAGCUUACACGUCGGAGUACACACAUGAUCUGUUGAAUACCUUGCAUUUACUCACCAUAAGCAUCAUGCAAAAUCGAAUUCCUCUGACUCAACUCUUCCGCAUCCAUAUGCAAUCUCUUACAAACUGUCUUUGUAGAUGUAGGUAUCAUUCUUUUAUGAAUACAAUAAAGUUUAGGAGUUUGAAUUCUUACAACUAAGCCCUACCACAUGAUCUUGACAGUCCAAAAAGCCCUGUAGCCUCCUGCUUAUAAGUUUGGUACAAAACACACCUAUAGACAACUCUACUAGACAUGGCUUGUAGAUUCCCUAGGAUAGAAUUGCACCGAUACCACUUUUGUUACAAGCCAAACCGCAAGACUACGAUGGGCACCCAGUGCUUUAUUCAAUCGAGUAACAACAUAGCAUAUCUUUCAUAUUAUACUAUCAUUGGUAAUUGGACAAGAAGUGUCGUAAUCAGCUAACUAGAAAAACAUAUAAGGGAAUACUAGACAUUGGAUGACCCAACAUGAUAUAGAAACCUAUACAUGUGACAUACGGGUCUAUAUGGCCGACACGAUUAUUUGUAUAUUAAAAAUAUAGGCCGACAAGGCCAUACAAGUAUCCAUAUACAUGACAUCUGUCUACAAGCCUCUAAGAGUACAUAAACGUCAUAACUAUCGGGAUAUACCCCGUCGUACCAAUAAAUUCAUGUCCAAAUUAUACUGACCAAAUAGGCAACUCCAGAGCAAAUGGAGUUCGCCGACACGCUCUGCUGAGCUGAUAGCCUAUUAGGAGGAUUGCCAACCUAUCUAUCGGAAUAUGCUGGCAUAAAAUGCAGCAUCGCAGGCAAAAGGGACGUCAGUACAAAUAAAGUACCGAGUAUGUAGGGCAUAAAAAUCAUUAUAUAAAACACAGGAAAGAAACAUAGAGUAAAGAACUCAACAUGUAUGUUUGAAUAGCUUUGUGAAUCAUGAAAUAUGUAUAAUGUCAUGCAUAUGUAUAAAUAUCAUAUCAUACAUAAGUAUAUGAGCAUAUAACAUCAAUCAAGCCUCCGAGGUCAUCCCAUUAUAUCAUCUCAGUUUCUGUGGGCGAAAUCAUAGAUGUAUAUCAGGUGGUGGUGCGUAUGUACCACAAUAACCUCUUUUCAUACCCCAUAUACAUCGGAUAUAUACAUAUAUAACGGCAUCUGGCCAUGAGUCAAUGUAUAUGUAUAAAUGAAUGCAAUGUAGAAUCAAGUAAGAUAAUAAGAUCUCUCAGAAUGUCAUAAAUUCAAUAUGUUUCGGUUAAAAUUUAUAAACUUACGUAUUUUCUGAGACCCAUGAACAGAUGAUAUAAUAAUAGGAUACAUGGGGAAUCAAGAACAUAGGCACCCAUAGUACUUCUAUAAAUAGAGUCAUUUAUGAAAGUUAUGCAUUUGCUCGUUUUGUAUAUAUCACAUGAAUCAUUCCAAAGAAAAAAAGUAUAGUCUUAACCCACUAGCACAAGAGCUCAACUCGAAUUCAAUUCACGAUCUAUACAAUUAACAAGAAUAAUACUAUUAUACAACCAUAUGAACAAUUUUCUUAAUCGCAUAACGGAAGAUAACCUAUCCCACAAUGAAAUGGAUAGUAUUUUCCAUGUUCUUAUUAUUCCCUCAAGCCUUCCGUGGGCAAGGUAAUACAACAAUACAGCUAGCAAUUCCAAUAACAAUUUUCACAACCCAAACAAUGAUACAACGAGCGGAAAGAUCGGCUACGAUUAUCAACCACACUUCUACAAUCUUUUCUUUCCUUCAAAAAACAUAUCGAUGACUACACCAACAGUAUACUCAAGUUAGUCCAACAAAUUCCAGCCAUAAAAAAACUUAGAAAAUUAUCGAAUAGUCAAUACAACAACAACGUCAAAAUAUGAUUUUUCACUAUUAAUUUCAUAAUUAUCAUCACACAAUUUAGCAACGACCUAGACGAAUUUAAAUAUACCAAGGAGAGAAAACUUCUUACCUUAUUUUCCAUGAAAAACUAUUAUUCAACCUUACUUCACAUUGAAGAAAGCCCGGAUUAACCAGCACGCCAAAAUAGAAUAGGAUAUCGAGGUGGUGCGCAAAACUCAUGUAUUGUCAUUGAGAUUACACUUUGCUUUCAUAAAAUUUUGAGCUCAUGUUGCCGAAAAUCAUCUCAAUUUAAAGUUCAUUGCUGCUGCACUAUGUUGAACCUAUCUAUUCUUCAACUUCAUUCUCAAAUCAAGUGAAACAAGAGACAUAAUUGUAACCUUUUUCUAUUUCAUAUGUCCUCCUUAGCUUCUCUCUUGA
Molecule: long non-coding RNA, 4538 nt
Filed under: Nicotiana benthamiana
Lineage: Eukaryota; Viridiplantae; Streptophyta; Magnoliopsida; Solanales; Solanaceae
Description: long non-coding RNA (NBEN_LNC033082)
Source: RNAcentral